UCAAAAACAUAUCUCUAUGCUAAUAAUAAAUAAGGAGUUGGGCCCGCUUGGGGAAUAUUUUUUAACAGGUGCGGUAUUUUAACUGUACUAAGGUAGCAUAAUAAUUUGCCUUAUAAUUUGAGGGUAGAAUGAAUGGUUUGACGAAGGUUAAUCUGUUUCCGUUUUAUUUUUUAGAAAUUAAUUUUCAUAGUGAAAAAGCUUGAAUUUUUUAAAGGGACGAGAAGACCCUAUUGAGCUUAUAAUUUUAUUACUAUUAUGUUUGUUAAAUUCAUCAUUGUAGUAUAUAAAUUUUAAUUGGGGUGAUUAAGGAAUAAGUUUUUUAUAAUAUAACUUCCUUAGAUUAAUAUAUUGUUAGAUUAAGUAACCGAUGUGAUUAACAUAAUGUAUGUUAUGUAUUGCUUAUAAUAUAGUUACCAUAGGGAUAACAGCGUAAUUUACUUAGAGAGUUCUUAUUGAAAAGUAAGAUUGCGACCUCGAUGUUGGAUUAAAGUAACCUUAAGGUGCAGAAGC
Molecule: ribosomal RNA, 510 nt
Filed under: Uroteuthis duvaucelii
Lineage: Eukaryota; Metazoa; Mollusca; Cephalopoda; Myopsida; Loliginidae
Description: partial large subunit ribosomal RNA
Rfam family: Bacterial large subunit ribosomal RNA
Source: RNAcentral